This 1024-nucleotide long non-coding RNA is filed under the name Canis lupus familiaris (dog). Its description in RNAcentral is "lncRNA (ENSCAFG00000050485.1)". The record is from RNAcentral. Lineage: Eukaryota; Metazoa; Chordata; Mammalia; Carnivora; Canidae.
UUUGUCUCUUUCUAUGCAGGGAAAGUGGAGACUCAGAGUGUUUAAGUGACCUGCCUAAGGCACGGAGCUGGCAGCAGAGGUUGGCCCACACCCCAGCUUCCGACUGUCGCUCUCUUCUACAGGGCAUUCUCAGAUUCCUGGAUGCUGAUACAUUCCUGUCCCAUCUAGGAUCCGGCAGCGUCUGCUUUAUUCUCCAGAAUCCCUGUAUUUGCCCCAAAGAUGUCCCUUUGCCAUUUUUCCUUCUUGUAUUCCCUGGCUUUGGUGUCAAAGAAGAUGAAAAAGUGCGGAUUUAGAAUUCAUUCCUAAGAAUGUGAAGACCGGGCAUUGCUGGGUGUCUCUGGACUGCCGCGGCUCACUGCCGGCCAGUCAGCUGAAACCCAGCAUCAGGAACGCAGGGUCUUUAUGGGAACUGCUGUUGUCCGCCAGAAUCAUUCUAAAUAUAUUAAAAGUAGGUUAACUUACUAUGCUUCCUGCAUUUAUUCUUCCAGCUGAAAUUUCCCUGACUUUUUUUUUUCCUUUUCAUUUUAUUAGGUUAAUAAAACUUGGUUUUCCAGCAUUUCGCUGCCCCAGGAGGGCAGUGGGCCCCCUGUCCAAUUCAUCAACUGCCUAAUGAGCGGCCCCGGAGGUCCCGGCCCGUCCAUUCCAGAAGCUCUCUCUGCCUUGUAAAGCCGCCCACCUCGAGCCCAGAAGAGCAGGAGCGCAGAGGGGCGGUUAUGCUUACGGUGCCUGCAGGACAAGACAAAGUGGAAAGCUGCUCUUUGUCACCCACCCGGCCCCGAUGGCAGCUAACAGACCUCAUCCACACAAUUGGCUGGGACUCGACUCCCUUGUAACACCAGGUCCCUCUUCUGCAGUCUCUGUGCACUCGUGGAGGAGCAGUGUGGAGGGUCUCUGAGGCCAGGGGGAGCACCAGCAUCAGCCAGCACCUCCGUUCUUCGACAGAGGGAAGACGCGAUUGCGUGGCUCUCAGCAGUGACAUCAGAGUGUCCACGUGCCCCCGACCGUGUGCCCCAGCUGUAUGCAU